AUGGCAAGGGCGUCGGAUCAGCUGGAGGAGCUGUGCAGCUCCGGAGGAGGCUUGACCCUGUACACCACGAGGAAGCACGGGAGCACGGCGCGCCGGUCCAGCACCACCAGCUCGCCGUCCCCCGGGUCCGCCGAGUCGUACUCGCCGGGGUGCUCGUCGGUGGAGCCGCGACGGACGCGGCCGGCGAUGACGCGGCACACCAGCAUGCCCCUGCGGCCCUCGUGGCUUCCGCCCCCGGCGCCCGCGUCCGCCGCGCCGCUGCCGGCGAACGUGCGCACGGCCCUGGCCGCGCCGGCCUGGUGGCACGUAGCGACGGUCGCGCAGAUCACCUCGCUGCCGCCCCCGGCCUCCGCGGCGGGGCGGCACUGGAACCGCAUCAUCUCGUUGCCGUCGGCGGCGCACCGCGCGUCGCCCGCGGCCUCGCCGCGCGCCCGGGCGGCGGCGCGAGCGCACUCGAAGCGCGCCACCGCGCGCGCCGUGCUGUGCACCCGGAAGAGCACCUCCACCUCCGCGGCUCCGUCGGUGCGCGCCCAGCCCGACGCGAAGAUGAGCUCGACCACGCGCCGCGACGGGUGGCCCUCGGGCAGCUCCGUCAUCUCCAGGAGAGCCGAGCUCGGCCGCUCCAGCGACGCCGCGAGCGGCAGCCUCGGCUUCUCCUUCCUCGCGAGCUCGGACGUGGCGUCCUCCUUCUUCUUCAUCUUCCUAGCAGUAGCAGUAGCGGUAGGAGGCCGGUCCCGCUCGCUGGACAUGGACCUAGACCGCCGACUCUCCCUGCCCCUCUCCGGCGGCAGCAACGCGACGGAGGCAGCACCCUUGACCGUCGGCGUCGGCGGGUGCUUCUUGGGCGGGGGCAGGAGCGGGCUGUACGCGUCGUCGGCGACGGCGGUAGAGUACUUGCAGCUGAGGGAGCGCACCCACGCCGUCGCCGCGGCCAUUGCCGGCGAGGUACUGUGCAAGAUGGACGGAAGCCCAGCACGGCGGCGCGCCGUAUAA
This 993-nucleotide ribosomal RNA is filed under the name Triticum aestivum (bread wheat). RNAcentral's name for it is "partial small subunit ribosomal RNA". Lineage: Eukaryota; Viridiplantae; Streptophyta; Magnoliopsida; Poales; Poaceae. The record is from RNAcentral.